RNAcentral lists this unclassified non-coding RNA (227 nucleotides) under uncultured fungus. Its description in RNAcentral is "sequence contains ITS1, 5.8S rRNA gene". The stretch from base 179 to 227 matches the Rfam family "5.8S ribosomal RNA", at positions 1 to 49 of the family's 154-position model. Lineage: Eukaryota; Fungi. The record is from RNAcentral.
UCUCCGUAGGUGAACCUGCGGAGGGAUCAUUACUGAGUGAGGGUCUCCGGGCUCGACCUCCAACCCUUUGUGAACCAACACUGUUGCUUCGGGGGCGACCCUGCCGUUUCGACGGCGAGCGCCCCCGGAGGCCUUCAAACACUGCAUCUUUGCGUCGGAGUUUAAGUAAAUUAAACAAAACUUUCAACAACGGAUCUCUUGGUUCUGGCAUCGAUGAAGAACGCAGC